GCACUCAUAUUUUUGUUUUUCUUCCAACAAGUUAUUAGCAUCUCCUUAGACCUCAUUAGUAAAAUAAUGGAGAAAAAAUGGCACUUUGUAGCCUGUGAGCUUUGACUUGCCGUUUGAUGUGUAUGUAGUACAUGCAUCGAACAAAUGAUAACUUGGUUUUGGGUUAACUUUCUGAAAUGGCAUGCUUGAAUGCCAUAUGUGUAAAAAGAUCUACUUUUGUACUGAUUGGACCAUUUGCUUUGCGUCUACAAUUUCAACUGCAGGAGAUCUGACAAAUGCAGCACUGUGCAAAGAUCUUGAAUCAUCCCUUAUUUCCUUACAUUUUCCUGGGAAAACGGGUGCAGCAUUUUACUGAAAUGUGCAAACCUGAACACUCUCAGGCAGCUCUCUUGCCAUUUCUUCAAGUAGUCUUCAGGGAUAGUUCUUCAGGCUUUUCAGAGGACCUCAAAAGCCCCCAGGUAGACCUUCCGUGGUUUAGAUGGCUAUAGACACUGUUUAAUUAAUCACACUACAAGACCUGUUGCCACUAUUUUAUUCUGCUGGAACCAAAAUGGUGGCAGCAGGCUUAGGAAGUCUCAGUAUGUAUAUCAACCUUUAUUCCGAAUCUGGCCAUCUGGAUCUAUAUCUGUAUUACACACCAGUUUGUUCAGAUUUUAAAGACUGAGUAUUACUCCUGCGCUUCACCAGUUUGGCAUCCUACUAGACCUCUGUAGUUAUUUAAAAAGGUGCAGAAAAUGACUAUUGAAUGAAGAUUUACAGGCACCAUAUUUUCUGUAAAAAA
Oreochromis niloticus (Nile tilapia) is the source of this 781-nucleotide long non-coding RNA. RefSeq lists it as uncharacterized. The transcript has 2 exons. NCBI's taxonomy places the organism in Eukaryota, Metazoa, Chordata, Actinopteri, Cichliformes, Cichlidae. The record is from RefSeq and is a predicted model, not a curated record.